This is a long non-coding RNA of Perca flavescens (yellow perch), 444 nucleotides long. RefSeq lists it as uncharacterized. NCBI's taxonomy places the organism in Eukaryota, Metazoa, Chordata, Actinopteri, Perciformes, Percidae. The transcript has 2 exons. The record is from RefSeq and is a predicted model, not a curated record.
UUACAAGAUAUUAACUCCACUGCAGAGUCCUCUUCUCUUGGGCGGGAUAUCUAUAUGCAUGCUCUUCAAUUGGUCUCAUUCCUUUUGAUGCAGCAAAGUUGGUGAUGACGGUGAUGUGGGGUUCCAACAACUACAAGAGGACCUAAGGGCCAUAUCCACACAGCAACUCCUUACACAAGCAACAAUGGGAUAAAGCAGUCUCCGUGUAAGAGACCUCCAAUGCCUGCUCUAUAGUGAUAGGGUAAUGGUGGCCAUAAUAUGAAAAAUUGUCAGAAUGUUCAGUUUGUGUUACUGUUUCUAGGACAUGUUGAAUCAACUGUAUGAUCUUUUGUAAGGAUCUCUUUCUCCGCACUAGCAUGUCAAUCAGCUGUGCAAGGAGGCUCCAGCCCACAAGUGUUUUUUUUGUGACAAAUUCUGGUAAUAAACUGAUAGUUGGUGAUCUUA